This 481-nucleotide ribosomal RNA is filed under the name Amazonian soil bacterium M44c. Its description in RNAcentral is "partial 16S ribosomal RNA". The record is from RNAcentral.
CUCCCAAUCAUCUGUCCCACUUAGGCGGCUGGCUCCUUACGGUUACCCCACCGACUUCGGGUGUUACAAACUCUCGUGGUGUGACCGGCGGUGUGUACAAAGCCCGGGAACGUAUUCACCGCGGCAUGCUGAUCCGCGAUUACUANCGAUUCCGGCUUCAUGUANGCGANUUGCAGCCUACAAUCCGAACUGAGAAUGGUUUUAUGGGAUUGGCUUCACCUCGCGGCUUCGCUGCCCUUUGUACCAUCCAUUGUANCACGUGUGUANCCCAGGUCAUAAGGGGCAUGAUGAUUUGACGUCAUCCCCACCUUCCUCCGGUUUGUCACCGGCAGUCACCUUAAAANUGCCCAACUAAAUGCUGGCAACUAANAUCAAAGGUUGCGCUCGUUGCGGGACUUAACCCAACAUCUCACGACACNANCUGACAACAACCAUGCACCACCUGUCACUCUGUCCCCCCAAAGGGAACGUCCUAUCUCUA